GUUCCUCUUCUGUAAAUCUGAAGAAAGAUUAUUUAGCAGUUAACAUCUUAAUCCUUUAGGUGCAGCUUUUCUUUUGAAUUCAGAAUGCCAGGCAAAGGCAGGGGAAGUACCUCUGCAAAAGGCAACUCCCCAGAGAGCAGCUCCUGUUAAAGGGAGAUUAUAACUAUGAUUUACUGGGUGUUACUAUCUAGGUGUUGAGAAGCAAUUCCCUAUGUUUUACACCAGUUGAUACCUCUUCACUCGGGAAAGUGCUAAGGGUUGUGUGACCAUGGGAGGUUAGAUGUGCAGCUCCUUUCUGUGUGGAAGGCUGAACUGUCAUCCUUGCCUGGUGUGACCCGUGAUGUUGCUGAUGGUCUUUCCCAUGGAACAGCUGUCAUCUUCCAUAGCUCUUUUGUCCUUGAUUCUCUUCCUGCUAUGUGAAUCCCAUCAGCUCCCAGUUCUAGUUUUCAAAUUUCAAAUUUCCCCCCUAUUCUGUGUAGCAGUUUUCUCUCCCUUUUGCUGUAUGAGAGGAAAAACAAAACCAAUACUUUUUUUUUCUUUUACAUGUCUAGAUUCUUGAUUGGGUCUCUGUAAUAAAGGGCAGAUUAUUAAGAGAAAAGCAAACAGAAGUUUAUUAACAUGAAUAUCUCAUAUUUAUGUGGGAGAAACUCAGAGAUGAAUAACUCAAAAGGGUGGUCAAAAUUUUGGGGUUUAGAUUUCAACAAAGAAUAGGAUCUUUGGGGCUUCUGGGUAGGGGAGGCAAGUUAUGGGAAGGUAACCUGGAAAAGUAGGAUAAACAAGAGUAAGUUUCAUUAUGCAGAUUUACGAUUCUUUUUCAUUAAUAAGAGUCUCCUGGUACUGAAUGAGGAACACCCUUCUGAAUGGAGAUUUUCUUUAUAAAUGUAAAAUUUUCUUACAAAACCUCUGCCACCAGAACUUUUCCUGUAUCUGCUGAAAAAAAUAUUUCUCAAAGUAAUCAGCUCAAAAUACCCUUAUGGCAAAUAUCCAUAUUUUAGAGUGGCAUAUUCUGGUCUCCUACAUUCUUGUG
This 1027-nucleotide long non-coding RNA is filed under the name Marmota monax (woodchuck). The record is from RNAcentral. Lineage: Eukaryota; Metazoa; Chordata; Mammalia; Rodentia; Sciuridae.